RNAcentral lists this unclassified non-coding RNA (269 nucleotides) under Hevea brasiliensis (rubber tree). The record is from RNAcentral. Lineage: Eukaryota; Viridiplantae; Streptophyta; Magnoliopsida; Malpighiales; Euphorbiaceae.
UCACGUGCAGCUUCUUCAGCCUGUCUUUGAGCUUCCCGCUCUUGCCGUUUCUUCUCUUUCUUGGUUGAUGCUUUGGCCUCAUAAUCUUCACCCACAACAGCUUCAUUGUCACUUUCAUCAACAGUGUCUUCUACGGUUGCUUCCGCAGCUCUUGAUGAACUAGCUCCAGCAAUUGGUCUUCGACGCAUUCGCCGAGCACCAGUGGCGCGCACCACAGUUUCCCGCUGCCGAUCCUGAGGGUCUUCUUGAUGUUCAUCAGGUGAUCGAGA